UCAUCUUUCAGAGGUAGUAAGUGCCUUUUCUUAUCCAUAUUUUGAGUUUCCUUGAAACUGGCUACCUCUGUUCUGAGACCAUCUAUAGACUUAGAUGUCUGAUCAUGAGCAGGAUGAAAUGUCUUUAGAUAAAGAACUGUAGCUUUGAGGCUUGACAUGACAUCAGAGUUUGUGAUUUUAUUCUCUGCCAUAGAUAAGAAUUCUUCAGCUUUAGUUG
RNAcentral lists this long non-coding RNA (217 nucleotides) under Daucus carota (carrot). RNAcentral describes it as "long non-coding RNA (DCAR_LNC007220)". The record is from RNAcentral. Lineage: Eukaryota; Viridiplantae; Streptophyta; Magnoliopsida; Apiales; Apiaceae.